UACGAACUGUGCGAACGUUAUUCGGAAUCACUGGGCUUAAAGGGCGCGUAGGCGGGCUGUCAAGUCUGGGGUGAAAUGCCGCGGCUCAACCGUGGAACUGCCUUAGAUACUGACGGCCUCGAGGAGGGUAGGGGCAUGCGGAACUGUAGGUGGAGCGGUGAAAUGCGUUGAUAUCUACAGGAACUCCGGUGGCGAAAGCGGCGUGCUGGACCUUUUCUGACGCUGAGGCGCGAAAGCUAGGGGAGCAAACGGG
This 253-nucleotide ribosomal RNA is filed under the name uncultured bacterium. Its description in RNAcentral is "partial 16S ribosomal RNA". It matches the Rfam family "Bacterial small subunit ribosomal RNA", at positions 524 to 776 of the family's 1533-position model. The record is from RNAcentral.